Molecule: long non-coding RNA, 1107 nt
Filed under: Olea europaea subsp. europaea
Lineage: Eukaryota; Viridiplantae; Streptophyta; Magnoliopsida; Lamiales; Oleaceae
Source: RNAcentral
UUUAACCACUCACAUUGACAUAGUCAAUAACCAACACAUAACCAUAACAAAACCGAAUCUUCAUCAAGCUUUUUUCCAUCCCAAUAUAACCCAAAGUCAAGAGUAAGAAAAUAAAUUUUACAUUACAAGAAAGAAACUCAAGCACAAAAAAUAAAUUUUGUUAACAUCUAAUGUAUAGACUCGAGGAAAAAAAAAUGUCCAGGAAAGUGAAAUCGAAGUUCCAAAAGUUGUCUACCAAGCACGGCCAUCAUUUUGAAUCACCUUCACCUACAAAACGUGGUAACUUAAAUUAUAUUUCAUUGUAAAGAUAUGAUCAAAUGCGAUGCAAAAUAAUAAAAUUACCUUACGUAAACACAUAAAAUGACUUAUUUAUCUUUGAUGUUGGAAUCUUCAUCCAUUUUCGAUACUUCCGAAAGAUCUAAAAAAUAAAAUGAUUCAAUUAGUAGUAAAUGAAUUUGAAACACGUGUAAAUAACACACUUAAUGAAAUAGUUAAUUAAUAAUUACCUUCAUCCUAUUUAUUAUAAUACUCUACAUCCUCCAUGUAAAAUUUGUCUUCGCUUGGAGUAGAUUUGAGCCAAUUUUGAGUGCAAACUAAAAUCUCGACCAUCUUAGCAGUUAAAGAACUACGAAAUGGGUCUAGAAUUCUUCCCCCCAUAUUGAAAGCACUUUUUGAAGCCACCGUAGACACUUGAAUUGCCAACACAUCUUUUGUAAGUUUGGACAAUGUUUUAUACUUACUUCUAUGUACCUUCCACCAAUGAAGGACAUCAAACUCCACCUUCUCUAUAUCUUCACAAGUAUCCAAUAAAUAUCUUUUCAAGUCAUUUUUUAUCUCAAUUGAAUCUUUUACUGCUUGUUCCUUAAACUUGGAAAUACGAGUAGAAGAUGCAGUACAAGUGGAACUGACUUGACUUGUAGAAGAUGACCCACUUGUAGAUGUAUCCAUCGAUACUUGACUGCUUUGUGGACUUCCCUCAUAUAUCACAUACCAGUCAUAAAAUAGAAAACAAAUUUUCGUUCAAUGUUUGGGUCAUUGUACUAGCCAUUUUUUUUAAUUAUAAAUAUCACAAAAACAAUACUGAACAUAAUCCAAUUUAUACAUGGU